GCUGGGAGUCUGCUGUUUGUACAGCCGGUGGGCUCGUGUUGCUUUGGGCAUCCCUGUGCCUGAAUUCCUGCAGUACACUCGGUGUGCAUUCCAUGGUGCAUCCUCGCCUAGAAUUGAGUGGAAGCAAGUCCAUCUCAGAAGGGACAUACCUGAAGAGAAAUGGCUUUCCAGACUCUGAAGGGCAGAGAAAGCACCAGCCUGGGUUAGAGAAAGAGAACAGCAUCUCUGAGCCCGUCCUGGGUGACCUCACAGAGAUCACCGUAG
This is a long non-coding RNA of Camelus dromedarius (Arabian camel), 264 nucleotides long. RefSeq lists it as uncharacterized. The record is from RefSeq and is a predicted model, not a curated record. The transcript is spliced from 3 exons. NCBI's taxonomy places the organism in Eukaryota, Metazoa, Chordata, Mammalia, Artiodactyla, Camelidae.